This 402-nucleotide ribosomal RNA is filed under the name Mediterraneibacter gnavus. RNAcentral's name for it is "bacterial SSU rRNA". It matches the Rfam family "Bacterial small subunit ribosomal RNA", at positions 1132 to 1533 of the family's 1533-position model. Lineage: Bacteria; Bacillati; Bacillota; Clostridia; Lachnospirales; Lachnospiraceae. The record is from RNAcentral.
UGGGCACUCUAGAGAGACUGCCAGGGAUAACCUGGAGGAAGGUGGGGAUGACGUCAAAUCAUCAUGCCCCUUAUGACCAGGGCUACACACGUGCUACAAUGGCGUAAACAAAGGGAAGCGAGCCCGCGAGGGGGAGCAAAUCCCAAAAAUAACGUCUCAGUUCGGAUUGUAGUCUGCAACUCGACUACAUGAAGCUGGAAUCGCUAGUAAUCGCGAAUCAGAAUGUCGCGGUGAAUACGUUCCCGGGUCUUGUACACACCGCCCGUCACACCAUGGGAGUCAGUAACGCCCGAAGUCAGUGACCCAACCGCAAGGAGGGAGCUGCCGAAGGUGGGACCGAUAACUGGGGUGAAGUCGUAACAAGGUAGCCGUAUCGGAAGGUGCGGCUGGAUCACCUCCUUU